GGGGUGUAGGGUCGGUGGGGGUGAAUUCAGGGCUGGUGAGGUGCAGGGCAGCCUCCCUAGAGGUGGCCUCUAGCCGGUAGGGCUUGAGUACAGAGUCUAUUAAAAUCGUGCAUCUCUUGAGGGGAAAUGUCUCUGCCCCAUCAGGCUGGUUGGAGGCGGAACGCCGCCCAUGCCUCGGGAGCCCAUGGGAGAUCCGGGACCCACCCACGGUGACGGCCUGGACUCAGCCUCCCGGAGUCUCUGUGGGGGACAGAAAAGAGCUCCUGCUGGCACUGGGGUGCUGCAGCUACUAAGCCUCGACGGUGAAGUGCAGGAACCUGAAUUAGCGGUUUCCCCGGCCUCCACCUCCCAGCGUUUCGAGGAGGCAGUUCCUGAAGCAGAAGUUUGAUGCGGAGGGGACCCGGGCGCUGGAGGCCGGGAGGAGUGAGCUGCGGAGGGACCAGGGCACCGGAGGCCGGGAAGAGUGAGCUGCCUGCCUGAGCUGCUGCCCCGAGACCCUCCUCCCUCCAUCCUGAGCAAGCUUCCGGCCCGGCAUGUCCCCCCAGCUGCUCCCUUCCCCUCAGGUGUGUGGCUGACAGUCUGUCGGCCCCUCAUUUCCAGGCACUGACCAGGGACUGGACUCCUGGAAGAAGCCGGCCUCUGGACUUAGGCUUAAACGUCCUCUGGUUUGAAGACACGAGACUCUGGAUUUGCCCAGUACUUGGGGUUCUCAGCUUUUCUCCAAAGUGGCCAUCACAGUGACCAGCACUGGCCCAGUGAUGGUGCCCCAUGGGAGCUACAAGGACCAGCGUGAGACCCUGGCGGCAGCAUCUGUAAGGUCCCAGGUGGCCACACCACAAGCUCCACAGAAGCACAGAAGAACUGCCUUGUGCCAGCACAGGGCACGCAGGGACGUCUGGGUGCCUCAGCUGUCAGCCUCUCUACCCGCAGGCAGCGUCCAGUGCAUCUGUGUGGGACGCCCACAGUUGGGCCUGGUGCUGGGAGAGUAAUGAGGAGCCUCCCGGCCUCCCCAGACCCUGUCCUUGAUUGGGGAAGGCCACGUGGCCAUCAUAACACACACAUCGCCAAACUUCGGCUUCCAGCUCCGGGGAAGUGUAUUUAAAUGCAGCAAACAGACGUCAGGGUAAUUGUCCCCGCUGGGGCUGGGACAGGGUCCAGGCCUUCCUGAGAAUGGGGCAGAAGCAUGUCACGCAAGUAAGAGACGGUGAACCUGGGCAAAGGUGGCGGCACCGAAACAGCCAGGCACAGAGGAGGAUCGAGGCUGCCCCCACCUCCCAUUUGCCACAAGGAAGAGAAGGAUUGGGAGGAGGGUGAGUGAGGGCAGCCCACUAGAGGAAGCUGUCGGCUCAAUUCCGGAUGACUCGGGAGGCUCCACAGUGCCACAGGAGCCAGCCAGGGGCCCAGGUAGCCGAGGACGGGCUGGCGGCUGCGUUGGCUGCACUCAUUUUUAAAACGACACAGUACUUCUGGAUUGGAGGCGUGACGAGCUAUUUGUAGACACAUCUUUGUGGAUAAGGAAGUAGCGCUGGUUGACAGAACUCUCCACCCUCCAGCACGGCUGGGGAGGAUUGGGCUCUUCGUCUACGGGUGGGGCGGGGGCAGCCAGAGUCCCCAGGUGGGCGCUGGGGGGGCCAGGUUUGGGGAAUGGGCUGUCAAGAAGCUGUGACACUGGUGGAAAGGGAAGGGCCCUGGGCUCGGCCAGGCGGGACUGGGUCCCUCUCCCCAGCCCUUGGCUCUGUCACUAGGGGAGUAACAGAAUAAUAAUGCCACCGCAGGCGCUCGUGACAG
Molecule: long non-coding RNA, 1788 nt
Organism: Callithrix jacchus (white-tufted-ear marmoset)
Lineage: Eukaryota; Metazoa; Chordata; Mammalia; Primates; Cebidae
Source: Ensembl